Molecule: ribosomal RNA, 477 nt
Filed under: uncultured bacterium
Lineage: Bacteria
Description: partial 16S ribosomal RNA
Rfam family: Bacterial small subunit ribosomal RNA
Source: RNAcentral
GAUAAACGCUGGCGGCGUGCAUAACACAUGCAAGUCGAACGAUGAAGCUUAACUGAUUUCUUCGGAAUGAUUUUAAGUGGAUUAGUGGCGGACGGGUGAGUAACGCGUGAGUAACCUGCCUUGCACAAGGGGAUAGCCGUUGGAAACGACGAAUAAUACCCUAUGAUAUAAACUCUUCGCAUGAAGGGCUUAUCAAAGAUUUAUCGGUGUAAGAUGGACUCGCGUCUGAUUAGCUAGUUGGUGGGGUAACAGCCUACCAAGGCAACGAUCAGUAGCCGGCUUGAGAGAGUGUACGGCCACAUUGGGACUGAGACACGGCCCAGACUCCUACGGGAGGCAGCAGUGGGGAAUUUUGCACAAUGGGGGAAACCCUGAUGCAGCGACGCCGCGUGAUUUAGAAGGCCUUCGGGUUGUAAAAAUCUUUUGUAUGGGAAGAAAAUGACAGUACCAUACGAAUAAGGACCGGCUAAUUACGUG